CCUCGGGAGAGCAACAAGGCUGGCGCGCUUCAGCCGUUCCAUUUCUGCUUUCCAUUUUUCAUCACGCCUUUGCACUAUUAACAGAAUCUCUGAAGUCAGUCUCCAGCGUAUUUAGUCUGUCCAUGACUGAACCUAAGUCGGUGGUAAUGGUUGUGAGAGCAGGAAGUGUGAGGAUUUCUUCUAGUGACCCAUGCAUCUCCC
Long non-coding RNA from Alosa alosa (allis shad), 201 nucleotides. RefSeq lists it as uncharacterized. Lineage: Eukaryota; Metazoa; Chordata; Actinopteri; Clupeiformes; Clupeidae. The record is from RefSeq and is a predicted model, not a curated record. The transcript has 3 exons.